Pelobates cultripes (western spadefoot toad) is the source of this 446-nucleotide non-coding RNA. NCBI's taxonomy places the organism in Eukaryota, Metazoa, Chordata, Amphibia, Anura, Pelobatidae. The record is from the annotation of a GenBank genome assembly.
ACAUAAUGUCGGCACUCAAGGGCAAGAGGCCACUCAACUUCGAGGAGUCUCACUUGACUUUUUAUCAAGACUUAACCAGAGCCACUCUCCAAUGGCAAAGGACCCACAGCGACUUCACCAGCCAGUUACGCUCUGCGGGCAUACCAUAUCGGUGGGGUAACCCACACCACCUCCUGGUUACACAUCAAGGAAACACGUACAAAAUCGCUACAGGUCCCGACGCUGCUGCGCUACUACCAAAACUGGGUCUGCCAACCAAGAACACCCAGAACACCACCCCGGCCUGGGACCCGGAGACGAUCGAGCCGUUCAUCCCGAGGACACGGAGAAUGGACACUCACGCCAUAUGACGGGAGUGGGGGGAGAAGUCUCCUACCUCGCCCCUGCUCAAGGGCUAAAAAUUGCAAAUUUUCUUUUCUUUAAAGUUUUUUCUCCUAUUCCUUUUC